UAUCUAUGGACUAAAUAAUGGAUAUGGACCAUGUGAUAUGGAUAUAGAUUUAGGAUUUGAAUUUUUUGGGGCAAAAAAUUAAGUUUUCAGCAAAAAAAAAAAAAAAAAAAAUUCCAGAAAACUGUGGGGUCAUUUGACCCCACAUGAUCCCAUGUGAGUCCGCCCCUGGCUUCAGAUGAAUACAGUGAUAUUGUUAACACAACAAAGAAAAGGAGAAACUUUGGAAACA
This 229-nucleotide long non-coding RNA is filed under the name Olea europaea (common olive). Its description in RNAcentral is "long non-coding RNA (OEUR_LNC013173)". Lineage: Eukaryota; Viridiplantae; Streptophyta; Magnoliopsida; Lamiales; Oleaceae. The record is from RNAcentral.